Molecule: ribosomal RNA, 226 nt
Filed under: uncultured bacterium
Lineage: Bacteria
Description: partial 16S ribosomal RNA
Rfam family: Bacterial small subunit ribosomal RNA
Source: RNAcentral
AGUGAACGCUGGCGGCAGGCCUAACACAUGCAAGUCGAGCGGCAGCGGGUUCCCGCGAGGGGAUGCCGGCGAGCGGCGGACGGGUGAGGAACACAUCGGAAUCUGCCUGGUUGUGGGGAUAACGUAGGAAACGUUACGCUAAUACCGCAUGCGACCCUGAGUCGACGGACGUGGGGGUGAAAGUGAGGGACCGUUCGGGCCUCACGCGACCAGAUGAGCCGAUGUC